CUAUUGGAAACGAUAGCUAAUACCGCAUAAUAGUAGUUGUUGCAUGACAACUGUUUGAAAGGUGCAAUUGCAUCACUACCAGAUGGACCUGCGUUGUAUUAGCUAGUUGGUGAGGUAACGGCUCACCAAGGCAACGAUACAUAGCCGACCUGAGAGGGUGAUCGGCCACACUGGGACUGAGACACGGCCCAG
RNAcentral lists this ribosomal RNA (192 nucleotides) under uncultured Streptococcaceae bacterium. Its description in RNAcentral is "partial 16S ribosomal RNA". It matches the Rfam family "Bacterial small subunit ribosomal RNA", at positions 147 to 334 of the family's 1533-position model. Lineage: Bacteria; Bacillati; Bacillota; Bacilli; Lactobacillales; Streptococcaceae. The record is from RNAcentral.